This 482-nucleotide ribosomal RNA is filed under the name uncultured bacterium. RNAcentral's name for it is "partial 16S ribosomal RNA". It matches the Rfam family "Bacterial small subunit ribosomal RNA", at positions 29 to 523 of the family's 1533-position model. The record is from RNAcentral.
AAUGAACGUUGGCGGCGUGGAUUAGGCAUGCAAGUCGAACGAGAUCUGUAGCAAUACAGUGAAAGUGGCGAAAGGGAGAGUAAUACGUAGGUACCAGCCCUCGGGUCUGGGAUAGCUGCGGGAAACCGCAAUUAAUACCGGAUGAUGUCUCUGGACCAAAGGUGUGAUUCCGCCAGGGGAUGGGCCUGCGUCCUAUCAGCUUGUUGGUGUGGUAACGGCGCACCAAGGCUAAGACGGGUACGGGGUGUGAGAGCAUGCCCCCGCUCACUGGGACUGAGAUACUGCCCAGACACCUACGGGUGGCUGCAGUCGAGAAUCUUCCGCAAUGGGCGCAAGCCUGACGGAGCGACGCAGCGUGUGGGAUGAAGGCCUUCGGGUUGUAAACCACUGUCAGUGGGGAGCAAAUGCAUCAGGGUUCUCCCUGGUGUUUGAGCGAUCCGCAGAGGAAGCACAGGCUAAUUCCGUGCCAGCAGCCGCCGUAA